GCAGAGAGUAUUAUCUUAUUUAAACCAUAGUUUUAAGAUUAAACAUAAACUGGUAGAAGCAGAACCAAUACCAAUUACAGCACAACCCUAGAACUAGACCCACAGUAAGCAAGCAGUAACUGAUAGAUUAAAAUUAAAAACAAAGCCAAAAACGGCGACUUAAAUAUAGAUAAACUAGAUCAUCAUCAACGUCCUCAGAUCUAGCAGAGUUGACCACAGUCAGCAAUCACAACAGGCUUGGAGCACCUGCCAGAUCCAGAUCCAACAGCCUCAGCCUUCUUAAUCACAUCAUAGCCUUCAACAACUUGACCGAACACAACAUGCUUGCCAUCGAGCCACUCAGUCUUAGCGGUGCAGAUGAAGAAUUGAGAACCGUUGGUUCCAGGUCCAGCAUUAGCCAUGGAGAGGAUUCCAGGACCGGUGUGCUUUCUUUUGAAGUUCUCGUCGGCGAAUUUGGCGCCGUAGAUUGACUCACCUCCGGUACCGUUUCCGGCGGUGAAAUCACCUCCUUGACACAUGAACCCUGGGAUCACACGGUGGAAGGUUGAGCCUUUGUAGUGCAAAGGCUUGCCCAUCCUUCCGACGCCUUUCUCGCCGGUGCAGAGAGCACGGAAGUUCUCC
RNAcentral lists this long non-coding RNA (621 nucleotides) under Nicotiana tabacum (common tobacco). Its description in RNAcentral is "long non-coding RNA (NTAB_LNC003434)". The record is from RNAcentral. Lineage: Eukaryota; Viridiplantae; Streptophyta; Magnoliopsida; Solanales; Solanaceae.